UACGAAGGGGGCUAGCGUUGCUCGGAAUGACUGGGCGUAAAGGGUGCGUAGGCGGGUCUUUAAGUCAGGGGUGAAAUCCUGGAGCUCAACUCCAGAACUGCCUUUGAUACUGAAGAUCUUGAGUUCGGGAGAGGUGAGUGGAACUGCGAGUGUAGAGGUGAAAUUCGUAGAUAUUCGGAAGAACACCAGUGGCGAAGGCGGCUCACUGGCCCGAUACUGACGCUGAGGAGCGAAAGCGUGGGGAGCGAACAGG
This 253-nucleotide ribosomal RNA is filed under the name uncultured bacterium. Its description in RNAcentral is "partial 16S ribosomal RNA". It matches the Rfam family "Bacterial small subunit ribosomal RNA", at positions 524 to 776 of the family's 1533-position model. The record is from RNAcentral.